ACCGGCUAACUCCGUGCCAGCAGCCGCGGUAAUACGGAGGGUGCGAGCGUUAAUCGGAAUUACUGGGCGUAAAGCGCAUGCAGGCGGCCUGUUAAGUCAGAUGUGAAAGCCCCGGGGCUUAAACCCUCGGAAUUGCAUUUUGAAACUGGCAGGCUAGAGUCUUGUAGAGGGGGUAGAAUUUCAGGUGUAGCGGUGAAAUGCGUAGAGAUCUGAAGGAAUACCAGUGGCGAAGGCGGCCCCCUGGACAAAGACUGACGCUCAGAUGCGAAAGCGUGGGGAGCAAACAGGAUUAGAUACCCUGGUAG
Molecule: ribosomal RNA, 305 nt
Filed under: uncultured bacterium
Lineage: Bacteria
Description: bacterial SSU rRNA
Rfam family: Bacterial small subunit ribosomal RNA
Source: RNAcentral